Molecule: non-coding RNA, 274 nt
Organism: Triticum urartu
Lineage: Eukaryota; Viridiplantae; Streptophyta; Magnoliopsida; Poales; Poaceae
Source: RefSeq, a predicted model, not a curated record
UCUCCGGCAACCUCCGACCAUGGUUGCUCGGAUCUGGACCAGCUACUGCUCCUACUGCUUCAGGUGGACGAGGACGAGCCCUCCCUCAUGGCUGCUGCGGCUGCCUACUCCCUCCUCCUACCCCCUGGCCUGGUGUGAGUGGUGGAGUUAAUGAGCCGGGAUGAAGUUCGAGAAGUUGCAUUACACCGUGUAAAUAUAAUGAGCCGUGGAAGACAAGUGCACCGGGAUUUCUGGAGGUAACAUGCCUCUGAUUGUAUGCACUGAAUUUCAGAUG